Molecule: ribosomal RNA, 492 nt
Filed under: uncultured bacterium
Lineage: Bacteria
Description: partial 16S ribosomal RNA
Rfam family: Bacterial small subunit ribosomal RNA
Source: RNAcentral
AGUGAACGCUGGCGGUAGGCCUAACACAUGCAAGUCGAACGGCAGCACAGUAAGAGCUUGCUCUUACGGGUGGCGAGUGGCGGACGGGUGAGGAAUAAAUCGGAAUCUACUUUUUCGUGGGGGGUAACGUAGGGAAACUUACGCUAAUAACGCAUACGACCUACGGGUGAAAGCAGGGGAGCUUCGGACCUUGCGCGAUUGAAUGAGCCGAUGUCGGAUUAGCUAGUUGGCGGGGUAAAGGCCCACCAAGGCGACGAUCCGUAGCUGGUCUGAGAGGAUGAUCAGCCACACUGGAACUGAGACACGGUCCAGACUCCUACGGGAGGCAGCAGUGGGGAAUAUUGGACAAUGGGCGCAAGCCUGAUCCAGCCAUACCGCGUGGGUGAAGAAGGCCUUCGGGUUGUAAAGCCCUUUUGUUGGGAAAGAAAAGCAGCAGGUUAAUACCCCGCUGUUCUGACGGUACCCAAAGAAUAAGCACCGGCUAACUUCGUG